UUAGGGUUUAGGGUUGUGGUUGUGGUCAGGGUUUAGGGUUGUGGUCAGGGUUUAGGGUUGUGGUUAGGGUUUAGGGUUGUGAUUAGGGUUUAGGGUUGUGGUCAGGGUUUAGGGUUGUGGUUGUGGUCAGGGUUUAGGGUUGUGGUUAGGGGUUAGGGUUGUGGUUAGGGUUUAGGGUUGUGGUUAGGGGUUGUGGUCAGGGUUUAGGGUUGUGGUUUAGGGUUGUGGUUAGGGUUUAGGGUUGUGGUUAGGGUUUAGGGUUGUGGUUAGGGUUUAGGGUUGUGAUUAGGGUUUAGGGUUGUGGUUAGGGGUUGUGGUCAGGGUUUAGGGUUGUGGUUUAGGGUUGUGGUUAGGGUUUAGGGUUGUGGUUUAGGGUUGUGGUUAGGGUUUAGGGUUGUGGUUAGGGUUUAGGGUUGUGGUUAGGGUUUAGGGUUGUGAUUAGGGUUUAGGGUUGUGAUUAGGGUUGUGGUUAGGGUUUAGGGUUGUGGUUUAGGGUUUAGGGUUGUGGUUAGGGUUUAGGCUUGUGGUUAGGGGUUGUGGUCAGGGUUUAGGCUUGUGGUUAGGGGUUGUGGUUAGGGUUGUGAUUAGGGUUUAGGCUUGUGGUUAGGGGUUGUGGUCAGGGUUUAGGGUUGUGGUCAGGGUUGUGGUCCCUGAGUACCAACCAAUCACUGAGGACCAUUAAUGCUAGUCUUCCUAUUAGUCAGAUGUGAGGAGCUGGAGCCGUCCUGCUGGUGGUGAAGGAGGAAAUGAGGGGGAGCGAGUUCCUUCCCACUCCUCCCUUCUCUGGUUUCCCUUCAGAAAGACGAGAGUCAUCAAGACCCUGUAGAGCCCUGGACACAGAGCAGUACAGAGCAGUACAGGACUACUACAGAGCAGCACAGGACUACUACAGACCAGCACAGGACUACCUACCGCAGACCCUGUAGAGCCCUGGACACAGAGCAGUACAGAGCAGCACAGGACUACUACAGAGCAGCACAGGACUACCUACCGCAGACCCUGUAGAGCCCUGGACACAGAGCAGUACAGAGCAGUACAGGACUACUACAGAGCAGCACAGGACUACUACAGACCAGCACAGCAGUACUACAGACCAGCACAGGACUACUACAGACCAGCACAGGACUACUACAGACCAGCACAGGACUACUACAGACCAGCACAGCAGUACUACAGACCAGCACAGGACUACUACAGACCAGCACAGCAGUACUACAGACCAGCACAGCAGUACUACAGACCAGCACAGGACUACUACAGACCAGCACAGGACUACCUACCGCAGACACUGUAGAGCCCUGGACACAGAGCAGUACAGAGCAGUACAGGACUACUACAGACCAGCACAGGACUACUACAGACCAGCACAGGACUACUACAGACCAGCACAGGACUACUACAGACCAGUACAGGACUACUACAGACCAGCACAGGACUACUACAGACCAGCACAGCAGUACUACAGACCAGCACAGGACUACUACAGACCAGCACAGCAGUACUACAGACCAGUACAGGACUACUACAGACCAGCACAGCAGUACUACAGACCAGUACAGGACUACUACAGACCAGCACAGGACUACCUACCGCAGACACUGUAGAGCUCUGGACACAGAGCAGUACAGACCAGCACAGGACUACUACAGACCAGCACAGGACUACUACAGACCAGCACAGCAGUUAUACAGACCAGCACAGGACUACUACAGACCAGUACAGGACUACUACAGACCAGUACAGGACUACUACAGACCAGCACAGGAGUACUACAGACCAGUACAGGACUACUACAGACCAGCACAGGACUACUACAGACCAGCACAGCAGUACUACAGACCAGUACAGGACUACUACAGACCAGCACAAUAGUACUACAGACCAGUACAGGACUACUACAGACCAGCACAGGACUACCUACCGCAGACACUGUAGAGCCCUGGACACAGAGCAGUACAGACCAGCACAGGACUACUACAGACCAGCACAGGACUACUACAGACCAGCACAGCAGUUAUACAGACCAGCACAGGACUACUACAGACCAGUACAGGACUACUACAGACCAGUACAGGACUACUACAGACCAGCACAGGACUACUACAGACCAGCACAGGACUACUACAGACCAGCACAGGACUACUACAGACCAGUACAGGACUACUACAGACCAGCGCAGGACUACUACAGACUACUACAAACCAGCACAGGACUACUACAGACCAGCACAGGACUACUACAGACUACUACAGACCAGUACAGGACUACUACAGACCAGCACAUUACUACCACAGACCAGUACAGACCAGUUUGGUGACCAGUGGAACCAGCAGGAUCCUUUUGAUGGGACUCCCAGAACAGAGGGCUGUGACUGGACAGUGAGUGACCCCAUGCCUCUGAGUCCGGCUGCCAACGCUAAGCAUGACCCCCCUGAUCACCCCCGGCAACCAGCCGCUACCAAUGGCAACCAGCCAGGUUCCGCCCUUGCCAGGGACGACGGGAGGACUUCCUCCCCAGAUCCUCCUGACGACGGCUCCGGAAACAGCAUCGUCAUCCGUAUUGGCAUCCCUGACCUGCAGCAGACGAAGUGCCUGCGGCUGGACCCCGAGGCAGCGGUGUGGAGCAGUAAGCAGCGUGUGUUAGUGACUCUAACACAGAGCCUGACUGAUGUUCUGAACUACGGCCUGUUUCAACCGGCCUUCAACGGACGAGCUGGGAAGUUCCUAGAUGAGGAACGACUGCUGAAAGACUACCCUCUACCCCCCAUCACCCCUAUUCCCUACCUAGAGUUCCGCUAUAAGAGGCGUGUUUACACUCAGAGCUACGUGGACGACAAGCAGCUAGCGAAGCUCCAUACCAAGGCCAACCUGAAGAAGUUCAUGGACUACGUUUACCAGCUCAGCGUUGACAAAGUCUCCAGGUUCUUGGAGAAAGGUCUUGAUCCUAAUUUCCAUGAUGCAGACACAGGAGAAUGCCCCUUAACCCUGGCGGUUCAGCUCGAGGGCAGUGCAGAGCUGAUUAAAGUCCUGAGGAGUGGAGGAGCCCACCUGGACUUCAGGACGAGAGACGGAAUCACAGCGCUGCACAGAGCCGUUCUCUCAAGGAACCACACAGCACUCACAACGGUGUUGGACCUGGGGGCGUCUCCAGACUAUAGGGACAGCCGUGGGUUAACUCCUUUGUACCACUGUGCCAUGGUGGGGGGAGACCCGUACUGCUGUGAACUGCUGCUUCAUGAACACGCUGUUAUAGGCAGCACCGACGAGAAUGGCUGGCAAGAGAUACACCAGGCAUGUCGUCAUGGGAACGUGCAGCACCUGGAACAUCUGCUGUUUUACGGAGCCGACAUGAGCUCCCAGAAUGCCUCAGGGAACACUGCCCUGCACCUGUGUGGUCUAUACAACCAGGAAGGCUGUGCCAGAGUUCUGCUGUUCAGAGGAACAAAUAAAGACAUUAAGAACUACAACAACCAAACAGCUUUUCAGGUGGCCAUCAUUGCUGGGAAUUUUGACCUGGCAGAGAUCAUUAAGAUCCAUAAGGCCUCAGACGUAGUGCCUUUCAGAGAGAGUCCUUCCUAUUCCUCAAAGCGCCGGCGUCUGGGCGGGGCCAAUAAUGUUGGUGUGUGUGGCUCGUCAUCUCCCCGUUAUCUGAUUCGCUCAGCCAGCGACAACGCUCUGGAAAGCCCCGCCUCUACUUCUCCCGGCCCCUCCCUCCACAGCCUGGAGAACACACACACUUCCAACCGGCAGACAGACAGACAGACAGACAGACAGACAGACAGACAGACAGACCUGUCUGCCUGCAUGCCUGCUGGCAGGCUACAGAGGGACCCCAGCCCGCCCCCAUCUCCCCCCAGCCCAGUGCAGCGUGGGAAACGUAGGCUGUACAGCGCUGUGCCAGGGAGGACGUUCAUCGCUACACGGUCUCACACACCGCAGGGUCCCGGGGAGAUCAGCCUGCAUCGGGGGGAGAGGGUCAAAGUGCUGAGUAUAGGAGAAGGAGGGUUCUGGGAGGGUUCUGUUAAAGGACGGACCGGAUGGUUUCCUGCUGACUGUGUUGAAGAGGUCCAGAUGAGACAGUACGACCCACGCCUAGAAACACGAGAGGAUCGAACCAAGAGGCUUUUCAGACAUUACACCGUGGGUUCCUAUGACAACUACACCUCUUACAGUGAUUAUGUCAUCGAGGAGAAGAGUUCUGUGCUACAGAAGAGAGACAGUGAAGGAUUUGGCUUCGUCCUCCGUGGAGCCAAAGCGGAGACCCCUAUAGAGGAGUUUGCCCCUACCCCAGCGUUCCCGGCGCUGCAGUACCUGGAGUCUGUUGACUUGGAGGGCGUGGCCUGGAGGGCGGGGCUACGCACUGGGGACUUCCUCAUUGAGGUAAACACACCCCAUAGAGAUGUAUAGAGAUCACAACAUUAUAUCUAUUCCAUUAUACACCCCAUAGAGAUGUAUAGAGAUCACAACAUUAUAUCUGUUCAUUAUACAUCCCAUAGAGAUGUAUAGAGAUCGUUGUAUCUAUUCCAUUAUACACCCCAUAGAGAUGUAUAGAGAUCACUACUUUGCAUCUGUCUCAUGCUGGCGUCUGUGACUGCAUGACAGCAGUGGUGGUUCUAACUCGUAUGGCUCCCUGGGUGAAGCCCCACUUCAGCCCCCCCC
RNAcentral lists this long non-coding RNA (4658 nucleotides) under Salmo salar (Atlantic salmon). RNAcentral describes it as "lncRNA (ENSSSAG00000114225.1)". The record is from RNAcentral. Lineage: Eukaryota; Metazoa; Chordata; Actinopteri; Salmoniformes; Salmonidae.